RNAcentral lists this ribosomal RNA (460 nucleotides) under uncultured bacterium. RNAcentral's name for it is "partial 16S ribosomal RNA". It matches the Rfam family "Bacterial small subunit ribosomal RNA", at positions 338 to 795 of the family's 1533-position model. The record is from RNAcentral.
CCUACGUGAGGCAGCAGUGAGGAAUAUUGGUCAAUGGACGAGAGUCUGAACCAGCCAAGUAGCGUGCAGGCUGACUGCCCUAUGGGUUGUAAACUUCUUUUAUAUGGGACUAAAAUGUUCCACGUGUGGGAUUUUGUAUGUACCAUAUGAAUAAGGAUCGGCUAACUCCGUGCCAGCAGCCGCGUGAAUACGGAGAAUACGAGCGUUAUCCGGAUUUAUUGGGUUUAGAGGGAGCGUAGGUGGAUUGUUAAGUCAGUUGUGAACGGUUGCGGCUCAACCGUAAAAUUGCAGUUGAAACUGGCAGUCUUGAGUACAGUAGAGGUGGGCGGAAUGCGUGGUGUAGCGGUGAAAUGCGUAGAUAUCACGAAGAACUCCGAUUGCGAAGGCAGUUCACUGGACUGCAACUGACACUGAGGCUCGAAAGUGUGGGUAUCAAACAGGAUUAGAUACCCCGGUAGUC